RNAcentral lists this long non-coding RNA (218 nucleotides) under Brassica napus (rape). RNAcentral's name for it is "long non-coding RNA (BNAP_LNC011249)". The record is from RNAcentral. Lineage: Eukaryota; Viridiplantae; Streptophyta; Magnoliopsida; Brassicales; Brassicaceae.
CAGGCGCUCCAUGAAAAUUCUGGGUGUUCUGUCGUCAGAUGGUCGCCUGGAACUACCGCUCUUUUCAGGGGGUAGGUAGUUCCGUUUCUGCAACCCAUAAUUUUUGAAGUAUCUCGAAUUUUUAUGCUUUUUGACCUGAAACUCAAUAAACUAAAACGAAAAUAAGCAACCAAAAACAAAAGCAAGUUAUAUUUACACUUACCAGUGGGUUGCCUCCC